AACGAACGCUGGCGGCAUGCCUAACACAUGUAAGUCGAACGAGACCUUCGGGUCUAGUGGCGCACGGGUGCGUAACGCGUGGGAACCUGCCCUUAGGUUCGGAAUAACUCCCCGAAAGGGGUGCUAAUACCGGAUAAUGUCUUCGGACCAAAGAUUUAUCGCCUUUGGAUGGGCCCGCGUUGGAUUAGCUAGUUGGUAGGGUAAAAGCCUACCAAGGCGACGAUCCAUAGCUGGUCUGAGAGGAUGAUCAGCCACACUGGGACUGAGACACGGCCCAGACUCCUACGGGAGGCAGCAGUGGGGAAUAUUGGACAAUGGGCGAAAGCCUGAUCCAGCAAUGCCGCGUGAGUGAUGAAGGCCUUAGGGUUGUAAAGCUCUUUUAACCGGGAUGAUAAUGACAGUACCGGGAGAAUAAGCGCCGGCUAACUCCGUG
This 433-nucleotide ribosomal RNA is filed under the name uncultured bacterium. Its description in RNAcentral is "partial 16S ribosomal RNA". It matches the Rfam family "Bacterial small subunit ribosomal RNA", at positions 29 to 507 of the family's 1533-position model. The record is from RNAcentral.